Molecule: long non-coding RNA, 1826 nt
Filed under: Felis catus (domestic cat)
Lineage: Eukaryota; Metazoa; Chordata; Mammalia; Carnivora; Felidae
Description: lncRNA (ENSFCAG00000047574.1)
Source: RNAcentral
GUAAAAGAGCAAGUAUAAACUUCUUUUCAUAAUGGCUAUUUAGGGUCUGUUAUCAAAAUAUAGUAAUAAGAUUCAUAUGUGUGAUAAAUAUGUUGCUAUCCACUCUCCUAUCAGAGAGUUCAAUCUAGUUAUAAAAACACUGAACUAUUAUUAUAUGAUGUAUGCUCUCACUUGAAGGUAGCUAAAUUGAUGUUUUGCCAUAUUUUAAGAACCCUUUCCCUACUCCCUAGAUACAUGUAACAGCCUAGAAAGAUCACUGCAUAUUGAACUGUAAUGCUAAAUCAGAAAUUAUAUUAUUACUCAUAACUAGCAUCCCGCUGACUUUCACUUAAAUAUCAGGACCCAAAUUAUUUUACAUCUCACUUCAGAAAUGUGGUACAACGUGCUAUUUAAUCUUCUUGGCCUAGUCUUAGAAUUUAUCAUACACUCUCCUUUUUAUGAACCACACAAACCAUUGGUGAUAGUGACGAGAAGCACUGUAUAUAGUUUCACUGGCUUUGGAUUCUUGUAUGGUGUUUGAAAAAAUAAAAAUCAUAUCUUAUAGGUCUUGAUCGUGUAUGCCUUCCAAUCUUGAGAUGUUGAUUUAGCUGUCCUGAACGUCACAUGAUGUGCCUCUCCAUAAUCCUGUACCCAAGCCAUUGCAGAAUUGCUGACGUGACUUUGGUGUGCUGUGCCAGGGCAAAUAUAUUAUUUUGAAUUAUGCCAGCAGUGAGGAAGACACAUGAGUAUAGCUCUCAGAGUGGAAGAAAAGAGAAAGAGGCCCUUUCCAAAUUCAUUCUGAAGUUCCAGAUGGAGAAUUGUGCAUUUCUCACAUUUCUAGUCUUUCAAGUAAGUGUUACAAGCCUUGUCUACAAAAUAAUUACAGAGUUAUCUGAAAGGGAAUGUGGGUUGCUUGUCUAAAUUAGUUAGGAUACCUUGUAGUUUCUUGGGAGAAAAGUCAGAAAAUGAAAGUUAUCUUUGAGUGUUUGGAUUGAAUUUCAGUAUUCAAAGCAUGAAAUCUUUCACAAAUCUUUCCAUUUAGUGUUGUUGAAAAAGGUGUAAUGUAAGCACAAUACUGUACCUCUUUCCUCUCCAUAACUCCUGGAAAGGCGCCAUAGAACAUGCAUUUACAUCAAGUCCUUGCUUGAGGUGAGUAAGCAAUCACCAUCGAUCAGCCUAGCAGCCAAAAGGGCACCAAAUUCAUUACUCAGUUUCUUGGUCCUUGUUCUAUUUUAUUUUAUUUUAUUUUAUUUUAUUUUAUUUUAUUUUAAUGUUUUUAUUUUUGAAGGAGAGAGAGAGAGAGAGACAGAGCAUGAGUGGGGGAGGAGCAGAGAGAGAGGGAGACACAGAAUCAGAAGCAGGCUCCAGGCUCUAAGCUGUCAGCACAGAGCCUGAUGCGGGGCUCGAACCCACAAACUGUGAGAUCAUGACCUGAGCCAAAGCUGACGCUGAACCAACUGAACCACCCAAGCGCCCCUCUUGGUCCUUGUUCUUGCGAGGCGUUUUAUACACUUGCCUCCUGCAAUCUGUAAACAAAUGUUGCUUCAUAUCCAGGUCACCUGGUGAAUCAGAGGGAAUGGGAACGGGCAUUGCUGUCUCUUGAGAAGGCACCAUGAUGAAGCAAGUGAUUCUUAGCACCUUCCACAUCUUAUGGUAUUGUUGCCAGGAUGCUUGAGAAGAUAUCCUGCCAAACUCUGAACUCUGUGAGAGUCAUUGGGAUGCCCAUGCCGGUUCUGAGUUCACAUGCCCAACCAGGUGAUCUGGACUAUCACACAGUAAGGCACAUUCUCUUAGCCUUGGUUUGUCCAUUCUAGGUUUGUUCCCUAUUCCUGUUUGGCCAUUAAGGU